Molecule: ribosomal RNA, 999 nt
Filed under: Streptomyces sp. DR-R18
Lineage: Bacteria; Bacillati; Actinomycetota; Actinomycetes; Kitasatosporales; Streptomycetaceae
Description: bacterial SSU rRNA
Rfam family: Bacterial small subunit ribosomal RNA
Source: RNAcentral
GGGUUGUAAACCUCUUUCCAGCAGGGAAGAAGCGAAAGUGACGGUACCUGCAGAAGAAGCGCCGGCUAACUACGUGCCAGCAGCCGCGGUAAUACGUAGGGCGCGAGCGUUGUCCGGAAUUAUUGGGCGUAAAGAGCUCGUAGGCGGCUUGUCACGUCGGUUGUGAAAGCCCGGGGCUUAACCCCGGGUCUGCAGUCGAUACGGGCAGGCUAGAGUUCGGUAGGGGAGAUCGGAAUUCCUGGUGUAGCGGUGAAAUGCGCAGAUAUCAGGAGGAACACCGGUGGCGAAGGCGGAUCUCUGGGCCGAUACUGACGCUGAGGAGCGAAAGCGUGGGGAGCGAACAGGAUUAGAUACCCUGGUAGUCCACGCCGUAAACGGUGGGCACUAGGUGUGGGCGACAUUCCACGUCGUCCGUGCCGCAGCUAACGCAUUAAGUGCCCCGCCUGGGGAGUACGGCCGCAAGGCUAAAACUCAAAGGAAUUUGACGGGGGCCCGCACAAGCCGGCGGAGCAUGUGGCUUAAUUCGACGCAACGCGAAGAACCUUACCAAGGCUUGACAUACACCGGAAAGCAUCAGAGAUGGUGCCCCCCUUGUGGUCGGUGUACAGGUGGUGCAUGGGCUGUCGUCAGCUCGUGUCGUGAGAUGUUGGGUUAAGUCCCGCAACGAGCGCAACCCUUGUCCCGUGUUGCCAGCAGGCCCUUGUGGUGCUGGGGACUCACGGGAGACCGCCGGGGUCAACUCGGAGGAAGGUGGGGACGACGUCAAGUCAUCAUGCCCCUUAUGUCUUGGGCUGCACACGUGCUACAAUGGCCGGUACAAUGAGCUGCGAUACCGCGAGGUGGAGCGAAUCUCAAAAAGCCGGUCUCAGUUCGGAUUGGGGUCUGCAACUCGACCCCAUGAAGUCGGAGUCGCUAGUAAUCGCAGAUCAGCAUUGCUGCGGUGAAUACGUUCCCGGGCCUUGUACACACCGCCCGUCACGUCACGAAAGUCGGUAACAC